UACAGAGGGUGCAAGCGUUAAUCGGAAUUACUGGGCGUAAAGCGCACGUAGGCGGUUUUUUAAGUCAGAUGUGAAAGCCCCCGGGCUCAACCUGGGAAUUGCAUUUGAAACUGGGGAACUAGAGUGUGUGAGAGGGGGGUAGAAUUCCAAGUGUAGCGGUGAAAUGCGUAGAGAUUUGGAGGAAUACCAGUGGCGAAGGCGGCCCCCUGGCACAACACUGACGCUCAGGUGCGAAAGCGUGGGGAGCAAACAGGAUUAGGAUACCCGGGUAGU
Molecule: ribosomal RNA, 273 nt
Filed under: uncultured bacterium
Lineage: Bacteria
Description: partial 16S ribosomal RNA
Rfam family: Bacterial small subunit ribosomal RNA
Source: RNAcentral